This 65-nucleotide transfer RNA is filed under the name Dipodomys ordii (Ord's kangaroo rat). It matches the Rfam family "tRNA". Rfam says of the family: Transfer RNA (tRNA) molecules are approximately 80 nucleotides in length. Their secondary structure includes four short double-helical elements and three loops (D, anti-codon, and T loops). The record is from Rfam by way of RNAcentral. Lineage: Eukaryota; Metazoa; Chordata; Mammalia; Rodentia; Heteromyidae.
GGUGGCUCAGUGGUAUAGCACUUGCCUUGCAUGCAUGAGGUCCUGGGUUCAAUUCCUCAGCACCA